GAUGUUGCGCCGGACGAACGGAUAACUUUGAUGACGUUAAACAUGAGGAACUCCUCCAACAUCU
RNAcentral lists this transfer RNA (64 nucleotides) under Perinereis vancaurica. RNAcentral's name for it is "tRNA-Ile". Lineage: Eukaryota; Metazoa; Annelida; Polychaeta; Phyllodocida; Nereididae. The record is from RNAcentral.